GUUUUUUCGAUAAUAAUUUAAAGUUUAAUYUAGCCCMCUGAAUUUAUUUUUAAAGGGCUGCAGUAUAUUGACUGUACAAAGGUAGCAUAAUAAAUAGUYUUUUAAUUGAAGACUUGAAUGAAUGAUUUGAUGAGAUAUAAGCUGUYUCAUUGUUAAAAAUAGAAAUUAAUUUUUUAGUUAAAAAGCUAAAAUAUGUAUAAAAGACGAGAAGACCCUAUAGAGUUUAAUAAUUUUUUAUAUUUUUAUUUUAUAUAAAUUUUUCAAUUGAUAUAUAUAAAAUUAUUUUAUUGGGGUGAUAGAAAAAUUUAAUAAACUUUUUUUAAAAAAUUAACAUUAAUAUAUGAAUUUUUGAUCCAUAAUUUAUGAUUAUAAGAUUAAAUUACCUUAGGGAUAACAGCGUAAUUUUUUUUUUUAGUUCAAAUAAAAAAAAAAGUUUGCGACCUCGAUGUUGGAUUAARAUAAAAUAUAAAUGCAAAAGUUUAAAAUUUUGAUCUGUUCGAUCAUUAAAAUCUU
This 513-nucleotide ribosomal RNA is filed under the name Anthocharis cardamines (orange tip). Its description in RNAcentral is "partial 16S ribosomal RNA". Lineage: Eukaryota; Metazoa; Arthropoda; Insecta; Lepidoptera; Pieridae. The record is from RNAcentral.